Molecule: long non-coding RNA, 1189 nt
Organism: Choloepus didactylus (southern two-toed sloth)
Lineage: Eukaryota; Metazoa; Chordata; Mammalia; Pilosa; Megalonychidae
Exons: 5
Source: RefSeq, a predicted model, not a curated record
UCCCAGGCCUCCCUAGGGCUCUCCAGCAAGGAUGUCAUUUGCACGGAGGUGACAGUUGAAGCAGUGGGGGUGAUGAGCUCUCCCGUGGAGGAGGUGUAGAGAGAGAAGAGGAUGCGGUAGACACUUGGGAAGGACCGUUGACCGGCAGGACGUGCAAGCCUUGGGAGCGCACCCAGUGGCGGAGAGGGCAGAGAGCAGAGGAGCCCCGGAAGGAGCCAGGAGGCAUCUCCUGAGCACCUGUGGAGUGCCAAGCCCUGUGCAGGAUGCAGAGGACAAGGCAAACCCACCCCUGCCUUCAAGAUUCUCAGUCUUGUGACCGGGAAUACUCACUAAACCAUCUGAGGAGGAAACCUUGGUAUCUAUCUCCUGUUCUAGCUGGGCUGCUCUGGUAAUGGGUUUGGGGGCAGAGGUGGAGAAGUCUAUGCUGAUUUACAUCAGGAAAAAAAAGAGGAAGAGAUCCAGAGAGGGAGGAGAAGUAUGGCAGUCUGCAACCCCUGGAGAGUCUAAGCAAGGGAGUGGCAUGACAUGAUCUACAUCUUAAAAUAGUCAUCUUUGCUGCUGUACGAAUGAUGAAGGCAGGAGACCACUCAGAGCUGUUACCAACAUCCAGGCAAGAGGAUACACCCGCCUACCCCUUUCCGUCCCAAGAAUCUUCCUUCCUUCUUUCUGGGAUCAACGAAGUGCCACCUCCUCGAAGCCAGAACGAACAGCCGCUUCCCACCCUGGCUCCUGCAGCGAGUUGCUUUAACCUCUAGUCAGAGCUGGUGGUUGCUGCGUGGGUCCGACUCCCCGCGUUGCUUCAACCCCCGCAUUCCCCCGACAGGCGCCCGGGAAAUCAAUCCGUCCUAAGUCAGUGACCCAGGCAGGCUCGCCCCCACAGCUCCGGACUCCAAGUCCAGUGCUCGCUCCGCCGCACCAGGAACCUCAUGCCCGGGGACGCGUCCUCUGCUCUCCGCCUUCCGCCGAGCGGCCCCGCGCUCCCUAGCCGCGGAAGGGCGGGUCUGGAGCGGGAGAAACCUCAGGCGCGGCGCCGCGGCGCCCCAGGUCACGUGACAGGGACCCGCGCGGAGAGGGACUCCGUCACGUGAUGCCGGCGCCCGAGAGCGUUGUUCUCACGUGACGGCGGCGCCCGCGUGUGGACCAAUGAGGCGGGGGCGGGGCCGGGAGGGGCGGUGCGCGGGAAGGGAGC